UUCAGGGAAGGCCUUGAUUAUUUCAGCAAGACAAUGUAAAUCAACAUUCUGCAUGUAUUCCAACAGUAUUUCUACUAUAUUAAACUGACCUGCCUGCAGUCCAGACCUGUCACCACAAGACACCAAAUGUGAUCUGUAUUGACUUCAAUACAGUGUGCUUUGGUUAACUAAGGCAGGGCUGCAUGAAAAAAAGCAUGAAGUUUUUGUACAUUUUGAUAUCUAGAAGUGCCAUGUGCCAAAUAAUUCACUUGCUUGAUCAAAUUAGAAACUGCAAAAAGAAUCAUGUGCAUUCUGCUUCAUUAAAUUGCCCAUAUUAUACAAAAAAUAUCUAUUUCAUAUGACAUAUAAACAUAGUUUUUAAAUGUAUUGUUCACUCCCCAGUCAAUACAGCCCAUAUAUGGAUAUUUCUCUGCAAAAGCAGCUUGUUUUUUUAUUCAUUAAUUUGUGAUGUCAUGAGAACCAAGUUAUUUACAUAUAUCACCCUACAGCAGUUACCGCCCCGCCCACUCUCACUUAUGUUACUGCGUCUUUGGAGUAUUAAGAGUAAAAUAAAAAAAAUGUAGAAUAUGGGCUCUUUAAUGUAGGAUAUUUGUGGCCUGUCUGAUGAAAUAUUUAGUGCAAACAAUCUUUUACACCUCACUGUGAAUUUCUACUGCUGAGUCUUACACACUGCAGUCUUACUUUGCAUUGUUCUCCAAUCUCUGGAAACUCCAGUGCAAUCUGAACUGCAGCCAUCCCAUCUCCACAAACAGCUACAACUCCACCUGCACAUUCAGCUGUGAGGAGGGCUUUGAGCUGAGAGGCUCACGCACAACCCAGUGUGAUCACACUGGACAGUGGACACACAGAUCCCUCCCUGCACAGCUGUACAGUGUUCUCCAAUCUCUGGAAACUCCAAUGAGUGGAGUAUGAACUGCAGCCAUCCCAUCUCCACAAACAGCUACAACUCCACCUGCACAUUCAGCUGUGAGGAAGGCUUUGAGCUGGUGGGAUCACUCACAACCCAAUGUGAUCAUACUAGACAGUGGACACACAAGACCCCCACCUGCACAGUGGAUCCACAGCUGUACAGUGUUCUCCAAUCUCUGGAUACUCUAGUGGGAGAAGUCUGAACUGCAGUCAUCCCAUCUCCACAAACAGCUACAACUCCAGCUGCACAUUCAGCUGUGAGAAGGGCUUUGAGCUGAGAGGCUCACACACAAGACAGAUCACACUGGACAGUGGACACACAAGACC
Long non-coding RNA from Pygocentrus nattereri (red-bellied piranha), 1236 nucleotides. RefSeq lists it as uncharacterized. The transcript has 3 exons. The record is from RefSeq and is a predicted model, not a curated record. NCBI's taxonomy places the organism in Eukaryota, Metazoa, Chordata, Actinopteri, Characiformes, Serrasalmidae.